Molecule: ribosomal RNA, 742 nt
Filed under: uncultured bacterium
Lineage: Bacteria
Description: partial 16S ribosomal RNA
Rfam family: Bacterial small subunit ribosomal RNA
Source: RNAcentral
UCUAGAGUNUCGGAGAGGAAAGUGGAAUUCNUAGUGUAGCGGUGAAAUGCGUAGAUAUUAGGAAGANCACCAGUGGCGAAGGCGACUUUCUGGACGAAAACUGACGCUGAGGCGCGAAAGCCAGGGGAGCGAACGGGAUUAGAUACCCCGGUAGUCCUGGCCGUAAACGAUGGGUACUAGGUGUAGGAGGUAUCGACCCCUUCUGUGCCGGAGUUAACGCAAUAAGUACCCCGCCUGGGGAGUACGACCGCAAGGUUGAAACUCAAAGGAAUUGACGGGGGCCCGCACAAGCGGUGGAGUAUGUGGUUUAAUUCGACGCAACGCGAAGAACCUUACCAGGUCUUGACAUUGAUGGACAGAACUAGAGAUAGUUCCUCUUCUUCGGAAGCCAGAAAACAGGUGGUGCACGGUUGUCGUCAGCUCGUGUCGUGAGAUGUUGNNNNAANNNNNNNNNNCGAGCGCAACCCCUAUCUUAUGUUGCCAGCACUCCGGGUGGGAACUCAUGAGAGACUGCCGCAGACAAUGCGGAGGAAGGCGGGGAUGACGUCAAAUCAUCAUGCCCCUUAUGACCUGGGCUACACACGUACUACAAUGGGAGUUAAUAGACGGAAGCGAAACCGCGAGGUGGAGCAAACCCGAGAAACACUCUCUCAGUUCGGAUCGUAGGCUGCAACUCGCCUACGUGAAGUCGGAAUCGCUAGUAAUCGCAGGUCAGCAUACUGCGGUGAAUACGUUCCCGGGC